This is a long non-coding RNA of Homo sapiens (human), 540 nucleotides long. Ensembl annotates it as long intergenic non-protein coding RNA 1806. Lineage: Eukaryota; Metazoa; Chordata; Mammalia; Primates; Hominidae. The record is from Ensembl.
GUCUUUCUAGCCUCCGCCUCCAGGCGGGUGAGGAGGUGACACCUGAGAAUUCCUCCCUCUCACCCCUGACCCUGCCGGAAAGCGAAACUGAGAUGCGGGCAUUGGGCCCUGGGAAGCGUGGGGAAGGGGAAAGGAGAAAGCCAGGUUAACUACGUCAGGAUUAAUGUGUUCCACUUCUGCUGCCUGAGGCCCCUCAACCAUCCUGAGCAAUGCAGGAAAUAAGAGAAAGAUCAUCUGCCUGGGCUGCUGCAGUUCUCCUCACAGCACAAUGCAACCAAAAUCAUUUAUAAACAGACAAAAAUAACAAUCUGAAUUAUCUAACAUUAGCAGUUGAACUGAAGAGCCCAAGAUUAUGUGAUGAAUUGUUAAAUUGCAGUAGCAUUGUUUUGGAUUGCUAAUUAAAAAAAAUAAGCAAACCCCAUGACUCUAGAUAUGACAACUGAAAAUACCCACAAAUUAUUUAAUAAAUGAAGUGUCUAACAACUUUAACACUUCCUGGUCGCCCUGUUAAUAAAUGUAAUUUGAGGUAGAUUUUUAAAA